GCAAUUUAAUCAAUCAAGUGCGUCGCAGUUUUAUUAAUCUGCGACGCAAAUGACUCUGAGAACAUCUUAGAGUCAUUUGCCUCGCAGUUUAAUAAAGCUGCGACGCACAGGUGUUUGUGAAUUUAAUUUUUUCUCAAAUUCGCGCUCACCUUUUAAUUGUUUUCUUCAAUAUUCUGACUUGCUCCAAAUGACCUAAAUCUAUCGAAACCAGUUAAGCCCAAAACAUCCGUUCUCACCGGCUUCACCCUUCCGUUUACCAGCUUCACUGCCGUCGUCUUCCCUCCUUCUGCGUCGUUCUCUCCUUCCCCUGCGCCGUUCAACUUGUUGUUCGUUCUCCUCUUCAACCUGCUGCUCGUUCUCUUCUUCCCCUGCGUCGUUCAACUCAAACUAAUCAGUGUCGCUGCUCCGUGUUAACGCCGCCUUCCACGGCAGCCGCCCACGCCGCCGCCCACUCCUCCGCUCCUGGUCACUGUCUUCUCUCCUCUCCUAGGUAAAGAGCUUCACUAUUAUUUUCUGUUAUGUUAAAUACUAGAUGUUGUUAAGGUCCCGUAAGGAUUUUCAUGUGGUUGCCACAGAAGCUGUUUGGUAAUAUGUGCUUGAAUAUUACGUAUACUACCUCCGUAGAUGCUGAAGAUAACAUACAAGAGUUGUUUGUGUUAGGUGUAGAAGCAAUCCCGGAUUGACAGAGGUUUCCUCUAGUUCUGUUGGCUUCUCCUUUUUGUGUUCUUGUUUUAUUUAUUUUCUUCAAAUUUUGUGAAGACUUAACAAAAGAUAGUUGUCGAACACUUGCAUAUCAUUGCAUUGAACAUGAUCGAACACUGUAAUUUUCAAUUGUUGUUGGUAAUUAGAUCACGAAACUGGUGAUUUGGCAAUUAGACAUGUAACCAAUGUAUAAAUUUCGUAGUUAUGAAGUGGACUCGGAGCAGUUGUCUUGGCAUAUGCUCCUUUUGGUGAUUAAAGUUUCUACACGACCUUUCUUUCUGUGGCAAUUUGGAAUUACUUAUUAGUUACAAUCGUUGUCAGAAACUCUGUGGAGUUGGAUGUUUUAAUAGUGAUUUAUCGCUUUUUAAAUUGGAGUUCACUCUUUGAAUAAUCUAUAAUAUGUAGACAGGGCACUGACGUGUCUCUGAAGGAUCUUGACUACCUUUUGUCUCUACUUGAGGAAAAGAAGAGAAAGAUGGCCGGAGCAAGAAGAAGCUAGGGUUUGAAGCCAGUAAACUCGCUAAGAAUACAAGGAAAUGGUUAAGAUUGAAGCCAGUAAACUCGCUAAGAAGCAUCCACGUGUCUUGCAGAUGGAAUGAGCUACUAGGACGGUGGUUGACUGGUACUUUCAUUCCGGCAGAAAUAUUAAAAGUACAAGAGGUUGUGUCAAUGAGAUCAAUCAGUAUAUUUCGCAACAUAAUCAGCUUUUGUUGGAUCACAUAACUGACCUUUGGAGCUCUCUGAUGCCCAGUUUGUGUUCUGUGAUGUUUACCAAGGCUUCAUGCGUAUCUUGUCCAACCCUAAACACUAUGGCAUCAAGGAAACAAGAGGAGCAUGUUGUGGAAUAGGGUGGCAUGGAGCAGCAUCGGGGUGCGACACCAUGGAGAUGGUUUGCAACCAAAGUACAGCUCAUGUAAUCCUUCUAAGGCCGUCAAUUAUCUGCUGGCCGACUCUGCCUGGUUCGGUCAUCCAUUGGGUGACA
Long non-coding RNA from Spinacia oleracea (spinach), 1684 nucleotides. RefSeq lists it as uncharacterized. NCBI's taxonomy places the organism in Eukaryota, Viridiplantae, Streptophyta, Magnoliopsida, Caryophyllales, Amaranthaceae. The record is from RefSeq and is a predicted model, not a curated record. The transcript is spliced from 3 exons.